UAGUCCACACCGUAAACGAUGAAUGCCAGACGUCAGCAAGCAUGCUUGUUGGUGUCACACCUAACGGAUUAAGCAUUCCGGCCUGGGGAGUACAGUCGCAAGAUUAAAACUCAAAGGGAAUUGACGGGGGCCCGCACAAGCGGUGGAGCAUGUGGUUUAAUUCGACGCAACGCGCAGAACCUUACCAACCCUUGACAUGUGUAUCGAGAUUUCUGGAGACAGAUUUCGUCAGUUCGGCUGGAUACAACACAGGUGCUGCAUGGCUGUCGUCAGCUCGUGUCGUGAGAUGUUCGGUUAAGUCCGGCAACGAGCGCAACCCACAUCCUUAGUUGCCAGCAGUUCGGCUGGGCACUCUAGGGAAACUGCCCGUGAUAAGCGGGAGGAAGGUGUGGAUGACGUCAAGUCCUCAUGGCCCUUACGGGUUGGGCUACACACGUGCUACAAUGGCAGUGACAAUGGGUUAAUCCAAAAAGCUAGUCUCAGUUCGGAUUGGGU
Molecule: ribosomal RNA, 495 nt
Filed under: uncultured bacterium
Lineage: Bacteria
Description: bacterial SSU rRNA
Rfam family: Bacterial small subunit ribosomal RNA
Source: RNAcentral